This is a long non-coding RNA of Trifolium pratense (red clover), 302 nucleotides long. RefSeq lists it as uncharacterized. Lineage: Eukaryota; Viridiplantae; Streptophyta; Magnoliopsida; Fabales; Fabaceae. The record is from RefSeq and is a predicted model, not a curated record. The transcript has 2 exons.
UCAACUAUUAGUUUGUUCUUCUUAGUUGCUAACUCUCUAGGUAAAUGGAAGUAUGGAACCAUUGAGAUGAAGUGAUUGUCUCACCCCUCACAUUUUGUUUCAGUUAAGCAGGUUGAGCAAGUUAGAGUUUGAUGUUAUUGGAACUAAGCAUGGUGGUUUUAGUUGUGUAUUAAACAUCUUAGACCUAUGUAUUGAAUGUUGUUUGUAUUGAGACCUCUUUUUGUUUGUUCAAACGAGAAUUAUCUGGAAUUUUAUUGUAUCCAGUACUAAUGAUUAAUGUCCAUUUAAAUUAUUCUAGACAA